Molecule: long non-coding RNA, 632 nt
Organism: Bos taurus (domestic cattle)
Lineage: Eukaryota; Metazoa; Chordata; Mammalia; Artiodactyla; Bovidae
Source: Ensembl
AAGGGAAUUGCGAUGGGGAGAUUAUCCUGGAUUCCUCAGAAGAGGUAGCUGAGGCGCAGAAGUUACGGCAGAUCUUUUUACAGGAGGAAAAAGAUUCUCUUUUGAGGAUGAAUGAAUUUCGCCAACUGAAGGUGAAGGUUGAAGGGCACCAGAGUUGUCACUAUCACUGAUGUCUGUUACAGCAAAAGAGAUAAGGAGUAUGGGAUGGGAUGGUCCCUCCCCCAAAACAGCUGAGAUUUGGCAACAAUGCAGGGACUGGUGCCCCUGAGUUGUGCUCCCUCAUCCCACCCAGAAGGUGGACCAGCAAGUCAGGAUGUAGUGGAAAGUUCUCCACCUGGAUUUUAACACUUUGGAAGUGUCUCCACUCAAAGUCUCUUUCAGGCAGUCUGACUUAACCAUCAAACUAAGACAUCAGCAGAGGGGCAGGUGGGGGACAUAGCAACAAAACAUGCUGACAGUGCUUCAAUCUCACAAGCCUCUUUGGGAAUUGUACCCCCUGAACUGACCUAAAGCUUGUCCUCAUUGCUUGCACUGAUGUUUGAGUUUAUACUAGAUUUGGGAAUGGGUUCAGAGACAAUGGCCCCUGGCUCAUGUGGCUAUUCAGGUUAAGACAGACAAACAAAACCUUAGAC